This 227-nucleotide unclassified non-coding RNA is filed under the name plant metagenome. RNAcentral describes it as "partial contains small subunit ribosomal RNA, internal transcribed spacer 1, and 5.8S ribosomal RNA". The record is from RNAcentral.
UUUCCGUAGGUGAACCUGCGGAAGGAUCAUUAAAGAAUUUGCCCCGUCCUCUCGAGGAUGGGUCCUCUUCUAAACCGUGUAUACAUACCUUUGUUGCUUUGGCGGGCCGCCAUCUCGGCGUUGGCUUCGGCUGACUGUGCCCGCCAGAGAACCCCAACUCUUCUGUUUAGUAUUGUCUGAGUACUAUAUAAUAGUUAAAACUUUCAACAACGGAUCUCUUGGUUCUG